AAAAAGAUGGCACUUCUAUUUUUUUACUUCAUAUUUCGUCAGCAAAUUCUUUACUGUUUCACAAUGACACAUUUCAUUUACACCAAAAAUGUGUGUGACGUUUGUGUUGCCUUGGUGAGACGGGAGCUGUGUACAUGGCUCUGUUAAAUGUUAGAUACAGCACAUAGAUUGCUGACAUUGGCACACAUAAACACACGGGUUUAUACCAAAACAUUCGCUUCUCUCUCAGCUAUCAGAGUUCAUGCUGUCUUUUCUCAAGAAUUCUUCACCUGAUUAGAAAUGACCCAACUACCAAAUUAUAACUCAUCACCUAAUGACGUAUUUC
Non-coding RNA from Pelobates cultripes (western spadefoot toad), 325 nucleotides. Lineage: Eukaryota; Metazoa; Chordata; Amphibia; Anura; Pelobatidae. The record is from the annotation of a GenBank genome assembly.